GAUGAAGAACGCAGCGAACUGCGAUAAGUAAUGUGAAUUGCAGAAUUCGGUGAAUCAUCGAGUCUUUGAACGCACAUUGCGCCCCCUGGCAUUCCGGGGGGCAUGCCUGUCCGAGCGUCAUUGCUGCCCUUCAAGCCCGGCUUGUGUGUUGGGUCGUCGUCCCCCCCGGGGGACGGGCCCGAAAGGCAGCGGCGGCACCGCGUCCGGUCCUCGAGCGUAUGGGGCUUUGUCACCCGCUCGAUUAGGGCCGGCCGGGCGCCAGCCGGCGUCUCCAACCUUCUAUUUUACCAGGUUGACCUCGGAUCAGGUAGGGAUACCCGCUGAACUUAAGCAUAUCAAUAAGCGGAGGA
This 350-nucleotide unclassified non-coding RNA is filed under the name soil metagenome. Its description in RNAcentral is "partial contains 5.8S ribosomal RNA, internal transcribed spacer 2, and large subunit ribosomal RNA". The stretch from base 1 to 120 matches the Rfam family "5.8S ribosomal RNA", at positions 35 to 154 of the family's 154-position model. The record is from RNAcentral.